GAUGACCAAUCGCAGAUGACCCGACUUUACACCCGCGGCUGAUAUUAGCGCCACCUCGAUUUACGACUUUGUUGUUAUCUCCUGUGUUUUGGACUAUAUAAGCCUGAUGUUUUUUGCUGUUCCUUUGAGCAACAUACCCCGUGUGUGUGAGUUAACCCAUAUCCUUUGUAUGUGAUUUAACUCUGCUCCUUCUUGCAAGAAUAAAUUAGUUACCUGAUCAUUGAUUCUCAACCUGGUGUCGAGUGAUAUUUUUCUAACAUAUUGGUCCUUCGAGCCGGAAUCCAAGAUCUCCUUUUUUCUCCGGGCAAACGAGCCUGACACUGUGCACAGGGAGUCGAGAGACUCUUAGAAAAAGACCCCUACCUUGUUUCCCUUACAAAGAAACAAUUUGGUAAAUAGGGGGGCCAGGUUACACUGGAGAGGAGAGGAGUGACGGAUCCUUGAACUACCGACACAGGAGAGAAAGUCAAUACAGGCACCGUUUUGGUUUCAACCCCUUGGUUCGCGGAAGGAUACCAAAUGAGUCCUAGAAAGACAGGAAGUACCUGACACUACACAGACAGUGAAACCAGGAGAGUAAGUGUUCACCAGAGUGAUAAAGAGGAAGAGCUGGCACUCGCCCAAGUGGGAGGGUCCCUACCAAGCACUCCUGUCUACACCGACUGCAGUUAGAGUGGCGGAGAGACCAUCCUGGAUACAUCUGACUGUGAAGCUGUUUAAACCUAAAGACAGAAACUCGCCUCUACUGUGGUGAAGUCUGGCUACAAAGGGAGGUGAUUCCAAUAAGGGCAUUUGUCUCAAACCAGUGAAGAAACCAACAGAACCCAGUAGAACUUAAAGAGUGGACAUUAGCAGGGAAACAGUAACGGGUCUGAGUGAUAGAAACUGACGAUGUACAGAGAAAGAAUUAGGCCAUGGCAUCCAUUCGGAUUACAUUAAAACAUGUGCCAAUACAA
This is a long non-coding RNA of Gymnodraco acuticeps, 956 nucleotides long. RefSeq lists it as uncharacterized. The transcript has 2 exons. Lineage: Eukaryota; Metazoa; Chordata; Actinopteri; Perciformes; Bathydraconidae. The record is from RefSeq and is a predicted model, not a curated record.